RNAcentral lists this long non-coding RNA (1331 nucleotides) under Homo sapiens (human). Its description in RNAcentral is "testis expressed 41". Lineage: Eukaryota; Metazoa; Chordata; Mammalia; Primates; Hominidae. The record is from RNAcentral.
GGCCUCCAUCUUGAAAACGGAAAAUAAAAACAGCAGACCUAUGAAGGUCGAAGGGGAAGAAAAGCUGUAUCGAUUGUUGAGAUCUGGCGACUUGUUUAAAUUUCAUCAGCCUCACUUCUAUGAACUCUCAGGACAAACUGCAACAGAGUCACAUCGAGUUGAGACUUCUCCAAGGGCCAUGGGGUUGACAUCUGUAUUCUCAGGCCUCACGUGUACCAGCUCUCUGCUCUCCUUUGCCUUGGGACGUUCCAUCCCUGGAAGUUUCCCUGCCCACAUCUUUGUAGAGAGUCCAUUCUCCAAGCUUCAGUGUGUCAUCUGUGAGGACCGUGACCCACCUGGUACAUCGCCUCAGGGCAUUCAUUUCAGGCUCCUUCUAAAUGGCCAAGAGACAACACCAACAUUUUUGUAAUGGCCUGCAAGGCCUUCCGAGAUCUACCUCCUGCAACUCAGCUUCUCCUGUGCUCUCCUUCUGGACUCACUCUGCCUCAGCAACACUGGUCCCUGUUGCCCCACCAAUAUGCCAGGUAAACCUCAGGUUCUCCUCCUGCCUUUUGCUAAGUAUAUGUCUUGAUGACAAGCCUUCUGCUGAUGAGCUGUGUUUCUGGACCGAUCAUGGUAGAAGUCAAUUAACGUGUCCCUCACUUGGGGUUUCUCAAGGGUAUGUUACCACAAAGACUCUCAUACACCCUUUUUUCUGAUCUCCCUUUCCCAUUCUACACUUGUGUGCUGAAUCUGUUUAGCAUUAUAGUUAGUACACUUACACGUCCACUAAAAAGUGGAAAUUAAUUUAAUUACCAAUGAAGUAACAAGAAUUUAGUUUGGCAAUGGAUUUCUUCUAUAAUCCAAAGCCAAGUUACCUUUCCACUCAUGGUUCUAAAGAUUACUCAACUGUGUAAAUCAUCUGUGCCACAUGGAAUAACUCAAAGUAAGUUCUUUCACCCCCUACUCAUUCUAAGUACACCAAAUAAAACUCUGCCUCUUUUGGAGAGUUCAUACACUGUUCAGAGAAGGCUGUGAGGUAUUUAUGAUAUCUAAUCCAGAAGGAACUCAAGUGAUGUUUGUUUUAGAAAUAGAAAGCAAAGAAUGAUUAUGCUGCAAAUAUUAUCAUGAAGACAUUUAUAAAUAUAUUACAAAUGCAUGUUUCCCGCCAAAUAAUUGACAAAACACUAUUACUUGCCUUAAAAAUAAUGCACAAUUAAUGAAUGCAAGAAAUUAAACCUCCGUACCAUGAUUUUUAUAUUCAAAUAAUUUGCUUUUACCUGAAAAUGAACAUAUUUGAUGAAUUACUGUAGAGGUGAUGGAAUCACUGUAUAAACUUACUGCAAAAAGAA